This 459-nucleotide ribosomal RNA is filed under the name uncultured bacterium. RNAcentral describes it as "partial 16S ribosomal RNA". It matches the Rfam family "Bacterial small subunit ribosomal RNA", at positions 355 to 803 of the family's 1533-position model. The record is from RNAcentral.
UGGGGAAUAUUGCACAAUGGGCGCAAGCCUGAUGCAGCCAUGCCGCGUGUGUGAAGAAGGCCUUCGGGUUGUAAAGCACUUUCAGCGAGGAGGAAGGUGGUGAGCUUAAUACGCUCAUCAAUUGACGUUACUCGCAGAAGAAGCACCGGCUAACUCCGUGCCAGCAGCCGCGGUAAUACGGAGGGUGCAAGCGUUAAUCGGAAUUACUGGGCGUAAAGCGCACGCAGGCGGUUUGUUAAGUCAGAUGUGAAAUCCCCGGGCUCAACCUGGGAACUGCAUUUGAAACUGGCAAGCUAGAGUCUCGUAGAGGGGGGUAGAAUUCCAGGUGUAGCGGUGAAAUGCGUAGAGAUCUGGAGGAAUACCGGUGGCGAAGGCGGCCCCCCUGGACGAAGACUGACGCUCAGGUGCGAAAGCGUGGGGCAGCAAAACAGGAUUAGAUACCCUGGUAGUCCACGCUGU